Molecule: ribosomal RNA, 482 nt
Filed under: uncultured bacterium
Lineage: Bacteria
Description: partial 16S ribosomal RNA
Rfam family: Bacterial small subunit ribosomal RNA
Source: RNAcentral
AUUGAACGCUGGCGGCAUGCCUUACACAUGCAAGUCGAACGGUAGCGGGCGUUCGGUUGCCGACUAGUGGCGAACGGGUGAGUAAUACUACGGAACGUGUCCGAUCCCGGUGGAUAAGGAGUCAAAAGCUGUGCUCAUAGCUCAUACCAGCUACUGAUUAAAACAGCGUGGCUCAAGAGCGAACGCCGACCUAGCUGUCGAUGAUAGAUUGGUUAGUUGGUGAGAUAAUAGCUUACCAAGUCGACGAUUUGUAGCUGAUCUGAGAGGAUGAUCAGCCACACUGGGACUGAGACACGGUCCAGACUCCUACGGGAGGCAGCAGUGGGGAAUUUUCGACAAUGGGCGCAAGCCUGAUCCAGCCACGCCGCGUGCAGGAUGAAGGCCUUCGGGUUGUAAACUGCUUUUGUAAGGAACGAAAAGAUUUCUUUUUAUCCAGGCGGGUCAUGACGGUACCGUAAGAAUAAGCACCGGCUAACUACGUG